AAGUGCUCUUGCCUCACUGUGACAGUGCAUCAGCUGAGGUUGUGAACUGUGAAACUCUGUCCAUGAAUAGUAACAGUAUAUCAGUGUAGCUGACAUGCUCCCUCUGGCUUAACUCCAACACACAGAGCCAAAGACCAUGUUCAACAAGGAACCCCUGCUACUGGCCCUCCAAGCCUGACGACUCCACAGGACUCAGGAGCCCCUGCUACUGGCCCUCCAAGCCUGACGACUCCACAGGACUCAGGAGCCCCCUGCUACUGGUCCUCCAAGCCUGACGACCCCACAGGACUCAGGAGCCCCCUGCUACUGGUCCUCCAAGCCUGACGACUCCACAGGACUCAGGAUCCCCCUGCUACUGGUCCUCCAAGCCUGACGACUCCACAGGACUCAGGAGCCCCCUGCUACUGGCCCUCCAAGCCUGACGACUCCACAGGACUCAGAAGAAGCUAGAGCUUGACCCCAUUGGAGUGCCACUAUGGGGAAUGUGAUGAGGGGUGGGGAAAAUAGCAACGAAACAAAUACAAACUGCCAUGACAGCGCACUAAAGGCAGAAGACGACACACUUGUCGUUCUCCAUGACUAUCCUUUUCCAGACAUCAGUGAGCCGAUCUUCAGGAUGGGAGAGAAGCUGAGGGUCUUGUCUCAGGAAGGUAACUGGUGGAGAGUCCGGUCUGGCCAAUCAGGAAGGGAGAACUACAUCCCUAAUAACUAUGUUGCCAAAGUCUACCAUGGAUGGUUGUUUGAGGGAGUGGCGAGGCAGAAGGCGGAGGAACUACUUCGCCUCCCUGUAAACAGAGUGGGAUCCUUCAUGAUCAGAGAGAGCACACAGCAGAGAGGUGUCUACUCCAUGUCUGUAAAGCAUAGAUCCAUCAAGCACUAUAAAAUCUAUCGCUUGGAGAACAACGGCUGGUACUAUAUCUCUCCUCGCCUGACCUUCCAGUGCCUGGAAGAGAUGGUCAACCACUACUGUGACUCUGCAGAUGGGCUGUGCUGUGUUCUCACUGGCCCGUGUCUGUGUGGGACCGCCAACCUCCUCGACACCACCACUCAGCCACCCCCUGUAGUGAUGCGCCGCAAUAACUUUGACUGGAAGAAAGUAGACAGGAAAGAUCUGAUCAGUGCAGGGGCUCCCCAGGUACAGCAGAACAGGGAAACCAUGGUGAGCUAUGGAGUCAGGAACAGCAUCGCCUCUUACCUCUCUCUUGCCGGGGCUCAGGGCCCUAGACAGCAGCAGAAGAACCACAAGAAGAAUAAAUCUGUCUACGUCACCUCCCGCAGUCUCAGCCAUAUGGACCUGGAGGAGGACUAUGAUACGUAGUGGCCUGCAUAGGCCAGUGGUUCUCAAACCUCUCUUUGGGGACCCCCAGACGUCCAUGUAUUUGAUCUAUUUCAGAGCUAGCACACUUGAUUCAACUUGUCAACUAAUCAACAUGUACUUGACUAGGUGAAUCAUGUCAGCUAGUAAGGGCUAUAACAAAAUUGUGAAACGUCUAGGGGUCCCCGAGGAGAGGUUUGAGAAGAACUGGCCUAGGCUACCAGAUUCGGCAUGGGUUCGAAUCCAACCCACUGCCUUUCUGACUUGCUAUCUUUGUUGUCGCAUCUUCACUGUCCUAUCUCAAUAACAGAAAUGAAGCCCACAGAAAAUAAGUUUUAAAAAAGACUAUGAGACUAAGAGGAACAACGGCUCAAGGAUCCAGACUUUGACACAGAAAUGAGCACUUUGAACCAUGGAACUAGAUAAACUAAAAAAUGUUCUUCUGAUCUCGACACCCAGAACCAAAUCUUGCGGGGUGGCCAGAGUCCCUAUUUAAAUGUUAACCUCUGUUACGAGAUACUAUAUUUUCCUCCAAUACACACACUGCUCCUUAUCUGAGCCUUUGGGAUUGAACUGAUAAGGAAUUGGAAGCUCAGUGGGAUAAAUCAACAUUGAAGUUGAAGUCCGUCCAGAGUCCAGAGCACUGACCGAGUGUCCUGCAAAAAUACAACACAUGUUAGCAUCAUGACAGUCGAUAAAAUAGUUGAAUGCUGUGUUGUGGGUGUUUGUGUGAAUGUGUAAUAUUCUGGGGAAAGAAACAUGGAAAGAAAGGGGAAUACCUAGACAGCUGCACAACUGAAUGCCUUCAACUGAAAAUGUGUCUUCCACAUUUAACCCAACCCCUCUGAAUCAGAAAGGUGCGGGGGGCUGACUUAAUCGACGCCCGGGGAGCAAUUGUUGUUAUUGUGGAUGUGUGUAAAUGUCAAUGGUUAGCAGCUUCAGAAGCUUUAGCCUGACCCCUUGCAAAGAGAUUUCUGUUGAGUACAUGUUUAUGUAAAUAAAUGUAAGGUAUUGUAUAAUCUCAGCAAACCAGAACCAAUAAAAGUAAGGUAUUGUAUAAUCUCAGCAAACCAGAACCAAUAAAAGUAAGGUAUUGUAUAAUCUCAGCAAACCAGAACCAAUAAAAGUAAGGUAUUGUAUAAUCUCGGCAAACCAGAACCAAUAAAAGUAAGGUAUUGUAUAAUCUCAGCAAACCAGAACCAAUAAAAGUAAGGUAUUGUAUAAUCUCGGCAAACCAGAACCAAUAAAAGUAAGGUAUUGUAUAAUCUCAGCAAACCAGAACCAAUAAAAGUAAGGUAUUGUAGAAUCUCAGCAAACCAGAACCAAUAAAAGUAAGGUAUUGUAUAAUCUCAGCAAACCAGAACCAAUAAAAGUAAGGUAUUGUAUAAUCUCAGCAAACCAGAACCAAUAAAAGUAAGGUAUUGUAUAAUCUCGGCAAACCAGAACCAAUAAAAGUAAGGUAUUGUAUAAUCUCAGCAAACCAGAACCAAUAAAAGUAAGGUAUUGUAUAAUCUCAGCAAACCAGAACCAAUAAAAGUAAGGUAUUGUAUAAUCUCAGCAAACCAGAACCAAUAAAAGUAAGGUAUUGUAUAAUCUCAGCAAACCAGAACCAAUAAAAGUAAGGUAUUGUAUAAUCUCAGCAAACCAGAACCAAUAAAAGUAAGGUAUUGUAUAAUCUCAGCAAACCAGAACCAAUAAAAGUAAGGUAUUGUAUAAUCUCAGCAAACCAGAACCAAUAAAAGUAAGGUAUUGUAUAAUCUCAGCAAACCAGAACCAAUAAAAGUAAGGUAUUGUAUAAUCUCGGCAAACCAGAACCAAUAAAAGUAAGGUAUUGUAUAAUCUCAGCAAACCAGAACCAAUAAAAGUAAGGUAUUGUAUAAUCUCAGCAAACCAGAACCAAUAAAAGUAAGGUAUUGUAUAAUCUCAGCAAACCAGAACCAAUAAAAGUAAGGUAUUGUAUAAUCUCAGCAAACCAGAACCAAUAAAAGUAAGGUAUUGUAUAAUCUCGGCAAACCAGAACCAAUAAAAGUAAGGUAUUGUAUAAUCUCAGCAAACCAGAACCAAUAAAAGUAAGGUAUUGUAUAAUCUCAGCAAACCAGAACCAAUAAAAGUAAGGUAUUGUAUAAUCUCAGCAAACCAGAACCAAUAAAAGUAAGGUAUUGUAUAAUCUCAGCAAACCAGAACCAAUAAAAGUAAGGUAUUGUAUAAUCUCAGCAAACCAGAACCAAUAAAAGUAAGGUAUUGUAUAAUCUCAGCAAACCAGAACCAAUAAAAGUAAGGUAUUGUAUAAUCUCAGCAAACCAGAACCAAUAAAAGUAAGGUAUUGUAUAA
Molecule: RNA transcript, 3646 nt
Organism: Oncorhynchus kisutch (coho salmon)
Lineage: Eukaryota; Metazoa; Chordata; Actinopteri; Salmoniformes; Salmonidae
Gene: sla1a
Gene name: Src like adaptor 1a
Exons: 9
Source: RefSeq, a predicted model, not a curated record